UGCGGGGUGGAGCAGUAGUAGCUCGGCGCCCUCAUAAGGCGAAGGUCGUGGGUGCAAAUCCCACUCCCGCAA
RNAcentral lists this transfer RNA (72 nucleotides) under Rhodocyclaceae bacterium. Its description in RNAcentral is "tRNA-Met". It matches the Rfam family "tRNA". From Rfam's summary of the family: Transfer RNA (tRNA) molecules are approximately 80 nucleotides in length. Their secondary structure includes four short double-helical elements and three loops (D, anti-codon, and T loops). Lineage: Bacteria; Pseudomonadati; Pseudomonadota; Betaproteobacteria; Rhodocyclales; Rhodocyclaceae. The record is from RNAcentral.